GUUGAAUAAAGCUCUGCGCAGCAUGGUGGUGUCAACAUCCUCGUGGGUGGCCAUAGUGUUAUAGGACAGAGUGCGUCCUGCGAAGCUGGAAGUUCCUGUCAGCUGGACCUGGGGUGCAUUGAAAGAUGCAUGAACCUAACGGGAGAGCACCAGCAUUCGGGCAAGGUGGAGGAGGAGGCCUACAUAAGAGGAACAUGGUGGUCGCAGAGUCGCUUCUACAUGUCUAUAUGAAAAAUACCGAAGAUUCCUCUUCCUUCUAAAACUUCUAUCACAAUACUGCCAUAGAUUCCUGACUCAAUACACGUGGCUGAUAUCUGUACAAGCAAACACUUGUCACAUGAAGGCAAUUCCUUCCUCAUCCAGAAGCUGGCACAGAUCAACCUAGAAUCCACUUUCUAGCUGUGUCAAGAAAAUACA
This is a long non-coding RNA of Panthera uncia (snow leopard), 417 nucleotides long. RefSeq lists it as uncharacterized. The record is from RefSeq and is a predicted model, not a curated record. Lineage: Eukaryota; Metazoa; Chordata; Mammalia; Carnivora; Felidae. The transcript is spliced from 3 exons.